Molecule: ribosomal RNA, 117 nt
Filed under: Crocodylus porosus (Australian saltwater crocodile)
Lineage: Eukaryota; Metazoa; Chordata; Crocodylia; Crocodylidae
Source: RNAcentral
CCCUGUAGCUAUACUGGAUUGAAUGUGCUUUAACCUGUCUGAUCUUGGAAGACAAGCCAUCUAGGGCUUAGGUAAUAUGUGGAUGGGAAAUCACUUUGCAAUCCCAGAAGCCAGAGA